Molecule: ribosomal RNA, 820 nt
Filed under: uncultured bacterium
Lineage: Bacteria
Description: bacterial SSU rRNA
Rfam family: Bacterial small subunit ribosomal RNA
Source: RNAcentral
CAGGCGGCUGCUACCUGCAAGUCGAACGGAAUUAAGUUUAACACCGAACACUUAGUCGGUGGAACACCAGAUGAAAUUAAGUAGUCGGUGUUGAACUUAAUUUAGUGGCGGACGGGUGAGUAACGCGUGAGUAACCUGCCUUACAGAGGGGGAUAACGUCCGGAAACGGACGCUAAUACCGCAUAACAUAUUUGAGCCGCAUGGUUUGGAUAUCAAAGGAGCAAUCCGCUGAAAGAUGGACUCGCGUCCGAUUAGCUAGUUGGUGAGAUAAAAGCCCACCAAGGCGACGAUCGGUAGCCGGACUGAGAGGUUGAACGGCCACAUUGGGACUGAGACACGGCCCAGACUCCUACGGGAGGCAGCAGUGGGGGAUAUUGCACAAUGGAGGAAACUCUGAUGCAGCAACGCCGCGUGAGGGAAGACGGUUUUCGGAUUGUAAACCUCUGUCCUUGGUGAAGAUAAUGACGGUAGCCAAGGAGGAAGCUCCGGCUAACUACGUGCCAGCAGCCGCGGUAAUACGUAGGGAGCAAGCGUUGUCCGGAUUUACUGGGUGUAAAGGGUGCGUAGGCGGCUCUGCAAGUCAGGCGUGAAAUAUAUGGGCUUAACCCAUAGACUGCGUUUGAAACUGUGGAGCUUGAGUGAAGUAGAGGUAGGCGGAAUUCCCGGUGUAGCGGUGAAAUGCGUAGAGAUCGGGAGGAACACCAGUGGCGAAGGCGGCCUACUGGGCUUUAACUGACGCUGAGGCACGAAAGCAUGGGUAGCAAACAGGAUUAGAUACCCUGCUAGUCCAUGCCGUAACGAUGAUUACUAGGUGUGGGGG